RNAcentral lists this ribosomal RNA (201 nucleotides) under uncultured bacterium. RNAcentral describes it as "partial 16S ribosomal RNA". It matches the Rfam family "Bacterial small subunit ribosomal RNA", at positions 328 to 539 of the family's 1533-position model. The record is from RNAcentral.
ACGCUCGACACCUACGGGAGACAGCAGUGGGGAAUAUUGCACAAUGGGGGAAACCCUGAUGCAGCAACGCCGCGUGAAGGAAGAAGGUUUUCGGAUCGUAAACUUCUAUCAAUAGGGAAGAAAGAAAUGACGGUACCUAAAUAAGAAGCCCCGGCUAACUACGUGCCAACAGCCGCGGUAAUCUGAGCGGGCUGGCAAGGC